Molecule: ribosomal RNA, 253 nt
Filed under: uncultured bacterium
Lineage: Bacteria
Description: partial 16S ribosomal RNA
Rfam family: Bacterial small subunit ribosomal RNA
Source: RNAcentral
UACGUAGGGGGCAAGCGUUGUCCGGAAUUAUUGGGCGUAAAGAGCGUGUAGGCGGUCCGGUAAGUCCGCUGUGAAAGUCCAGGGCUCAACCCUGGAAUGCCGGUGGAUACUGUCGGGCUAGAGUCCGGAAGAGGCGAGUGGAAUUCCUGGUGUAGCGGUGAAAUGCGCAGAUAUCAGGAGGAACACCGAUGGCGAAGGCAGCUCGCUGGGACGGUACUGACGCUGAGACGCGAAAGCGUGGGGAGCAAACAGG